UACGUAGGGUGCAAGCGUUACUCGGAUUUAUUGGGCGUAAAGGGCGCGUAGGCGGCCUGUUAAGUCGAACGUGAAAUCCCCGGGCUCAACCCGGGAACUGCGUCCGAUACUGGCAGGCUUGAAUUCGGGAGAGGGAUGCGGAAUUCCAGGUGUAGCGGUGAAAUGCGUAGAUAUCUGGAGGAACACCGGUGGCGAAGGCGGCAUCCUGGACCGAGAUUGACGCUGAGGCGCGAAAGCCAGGGGAGCAAACGGG
This 253-nucleotide ribosomal RNA is filed under the name uncultured bacterium. RNAcentral's name for it is "partial 16S ribosomal RNA". It matches the Rfam family "Bacterial small subunit ribosomal RNA", at positions 524 to 776 of the family's 1533-position model. The record is from RNAcentral.